Molecule: long non-coding RNA, 403 nt
Organism: Coffea eugenioides
Lineage: Eukaryota; Viridiplantae; Streptophyta; Magnoliopsida; Gentianales; Rubiaceae
Exons: 3
Source: RefSeq, a predicted model, not a curated record
CAUUUAAUGAAAGAAAGUUGUCUUCCAUUGCAAAUAGAAUGUGAAAAAGAACUUGUGAAUCAAGCUCUAAGUCAUAUGCAAGCAUGAUUAUCUUCAUUGGACAGGUACUUAAACUUUACUAAUCAUGUGUUUUGAACAAAAUGAUGGUUGAAGUCAAGCAAUCCAACCCUUUUGAUUUUGUGAUGCAAGCUUUUGAUUGGGCAAAGAAUAUAGAAGCACUUUUAUGUACUAGUGGGGACUGCUUUUAUUUCACUUUACAAGAUUUUAGAAUAGCUCAGUCAAGUUAGCUUGACGUUAGUAGUAGUAGUGCUGAUUUUUGUACAAAAGGGAAAAUGUGCAAUGCUGAGUGAAGCUAUGUACAUGUAUAAACAUUGAAACACUACUUUUGUUGGAGUUUUUGAAA